Molecule: non-coding RNA, 11340 nt
Organism: Rattus norvegicus (Norway rat)
Lineage: Eukaryota; Metazoa; Chordata; Mammalia; Rodentia; Muridae
Source: RefSeq, a predicted model, not a curated record
GAAACUCAGGCGGCAGGCGGGCGGGCCUGCAGGAGGAGGAGCCCGUGUGCAAGUGUGCUUACCCCAGGGAACCCGCAAUCGCGUGCACCGGGAUCUCUGCGUACUCGCCAGACCUGGCCCGGUAACUUCGGAUACGCGAUCUUUUUUAUCUUCAAUUUUAAGACUGGAAAUACCCACAAUUGCUGUACCUUCUGCUCUGAGAGCCAGCAGCAGAUAACUCCCUUGCUGAGGCUGUCCCCAGAGGGUAAGGAGACAGCGAUGACAUUUACUGCACCUCUGUUAAUUACCAGACGCAUCGUUAAGAACUGAAAAUAAUUUUAUCCACACAAUGUUCUUUUGUGCCUCUACGUUUAAUCCCAAUUCUAUAGGGUAAAAUGUUAAAUUUUUAUUUUAUCAAAGAGGUUAUGACCUACUCAGAGCCACAAAUUGUUAAAUGCUGAAAGCAAGAUUCUAACGGGACCUCUGACCAGUCCCACCCUUAGUGGAAAAUAGCAGAUCCGUUGCAAUUAGCACACCAGGUGGCCAUGAAGGUACAGAUGUUCGAGGAACAAACACAGCCUAAGCCGAGGCUGGUUUGAAGGCUCUGAGAUUGCGCACACACACACACGAAAUGCUUGCUAGCUCCUUACAGAUGAAUCUCAUAUGUGCAGGCUCUCGGCAGAGGCACAGGGGGAUGUGCUAGCUGCUGGGCUAUUCGGAAUGAGGUUUCCACAUGUGCUUGUUCUGAAAGUGGUCCCCCAACCCCAGCACUGGACAAAGGUGACAGACAGUUACCCCUAACCCAAAGCUACCAGGACUUUAUGAAAUCUGUAUUCGGUUUUGUUGUGGUUACAACAUAAGAUAUGCAAGUAUGUCUGCCUAUAGUGUGUGUGUGUGUGUGUGUGUGUGUGUGUGUGUGUGUGUGUGUGUGCGUGUGUGUGUGUGUCUAGCAUGAGCCAUCCACAGUUGUUGAUAAUAAGCCAGUGUUUCCAUGUUUGGAAAUAGAAAAUGGUAUGGUGCCCAGGGCAACACAUGGCCUCUUGAUCAGUAGUUGAGGUAGACGUGGCAUUUGCACACAUCAUGGACAAAUACAUUUAGUCUCCAAUAUAUUUGCAAACGCAUCAAUCGUGUGACCAGCUUCUUCUGUCUGCUUGGUUGUCUCCAAAGACCAGGAAAAUAAAAAACUGGGGAAGGGGGGAGGUUGAAAAGAGAAUGUUACAAAAUGUGAUAGUUUUUGAUCAACAUAUUAUACCUGUAGAGUUCCAGGAAACAAACUGCAUUUGUUUCUAGUGGUGAUUAGCAAACAGCUCCUUAUAGCCAGGUGACUUUUGUUUUGUUCGAGUCCUGCUUGUUCAGAGAAGCAAGUGAUUGGCAUCUGUACCAUAACAGAACAGACUAAGGUCAAUCUUAGACGGGAGAUACCUGGAUAAUGCAAGAACCCAUUGCAACUCUUAUUGGGGCUCUUCCCACCCCUAUCCCUGGUUUCUCCUUACCUUCCAGAAUAGUUCAGGGAGUCUACCAGGAGGUAGACUGAGUGAGGUAGGCAUCCCUACCUGUGAAGCAGCACCCCACAGCAACCCAGGAAGGGGGUUUGGAGGUGGACAGCAAAGAGGGGGCUGCCCACCAUCCAUGUCAGAACCUACGCUAGUUCAAGAAUCCACUCCUACAUAAAGUGGAUGCAGCUUGGCUGGCCCUCAGAGCGUAGAGGACUGGAGUGAGCAGUUAGAGAGGUGUGCCUGUAUAUGUGUGCACACAUCCCCUAGCUUGGCCCACUGAGAGUGCACGGAUGGCUGACACUCAGAGGCAUGUCUAGCACACUGCUUCUAGUUAUUAUUCUCAAACAAAGGAAACCAGAGAUGCUUAGGGAAAUGGUGCUUCCCAGAUUGGGGCAAAGAAAAGCAAAAGGGGGGACCCCUUUCUGCCAAAAGACAAAUGCUCAAAGAAUGGGAGGGGGUCAGAAAAUGAUUUUACCAAUGCAAGUGAAUAACUGAGUAAACUGGGACUAGGGGGAGGUUUUAGGUAUUUACACAGUGACAAAGGACUUUCCCUCGAGUAUACAGCAGUUACCAGCAAUAUUCUUCAUGUAAUUUCACACUCUGGCUGCAGAUAAUGUAAGUAAUGUAAACACUAAGUAGUCAGAAAGAAGUGUCCUUCCAGCGGCAGCGGAGGUCAUCGUAGUCUGCAAAGUCGCAAUCACACCAAGGAACAGAAUAUAACAAGACAUGGUGAACAGAAAGGGACACAGCUCCCUCCUGCUAGUCUCCUGUCACUGACCUUUGACCUGACUGCUCCCCAAGAAGCGUCUGAGUAACCCAAAGUGACAGAUGUUCUGCAAAUCAGCCAGCUGUCUUCAUUAAUCUAGUCGAGGUCGUGAAAAUCCAAGGUAUGUGGAACAGUUCCAGGCUGGCAGGGACAUGGUGGUGAAGAGAAGCCACGUGUCCUGAAUUGGAACAACUGGUAACGCCUGGGAGGGAAGAGACAUCAUCUGGAAAGCAUUCCUCUUGCUGGGGGUGGUGGCACACAUCUGUAAUGCCAACACCUGAGAAGCAGAAGUAGAGAGAUUGCUUCAAGGUAAAGGUCAGCCUGGUAUACAGAGUUAGACUUUGCCUCAGAAAGGAGGGAACGAGAACCUGCCCUUAUAUGGUACAGAAAAAGGCUUGAAGUACAGCUUUCCCAUGGGCAUUAUAUUGUUUCAGAUUUUUAAAUAUAAAACAAAAUUAUGAAGUACUAGAUCCUUUUCUGAAGAUUGCUAAUACAAUUGUUUUGGUUUUUUUCCGUGCGAGGGAGGGAAGAAUUUAAGUUCAAACCACAAUAAUACUUGUUCCUCAGGAGCUUUUCCUGAGGCUGGUCCAUGCUGCCUACUUGGAGUAAUUUUGGUCUUACCAAAGUCCCCACUGGCAGAAUAUCUAGCUUUUUGUAAAGUUAAAUUACGAGAGAGAGAGAGAGAGAGAGAGAGAGAGAUAUCAUUGCCUAACCACCUCACUCAAAAACUUGUCACAGAAGAAAUUGUUGACUGACUCAGUCUCCUCCCUGAUGGGGAAAGUUCCUUCAGUGACAGGUCAUGUCCAGAGGCCAGGACAACAAUGCCCAUAAAAGGGAUAGACACUGUCACAUGGAGUAAGAAAGUUUUGUUUUUUGUUUUGUUUUGUUUUUAAAAAGCAGUAGCUAAUACAGUUUUAGUAAUUCUUUACCAUGAUCACGUCUGUAUGCUCCAUCAUGUGACCCCCCCAUCUCCACAGCUUCUUCCCUACUUCCCUCUCUAGAUGUUGACAUGUCUGCACUCUGCUGUGGUCUGCAUAGAGCCAAGAAUAAAUAAUAAUCUUCUCAAGAUGUGAGUUUGAUCUCCCUCAGCAGAGCCGUAGUCCCCGAGAAGGAGGUAGGUGGUGCUGAAGCAGACACACAGAACCUUAAGUUUCAUUUUCCUAGCUAAAGGCUCAGAAGACAAAAAAAAAAAAAAAAAAAAAACAAACGCAGCCAGUGGUGGGGAAAAGAAAGUGUCUGUUACCUGCUCAGCCCUUCUCUGUCCUCAGCCAACGUAUUGCUUCUUCACUGGAGGGCCCUUCAAACUUAUUGCUAAGUGUCUUACUUUGGAAAAUAGGUUUUGCACGUCGGGGAAAAGGAAAUAUUUCAAUGACCCCAGCGUGACUCUUACUCGGUAUUCGCAAUAUUUUGGGUACAGCCCUUUAAAUGUUUCUCAGCCUUGAACACAGGCAUACCAAACACACCACACACAAAUCUAUAUAUUUCUUUUUCCUAUUUCCUGGAUCACUUAGUUGUAAAUUACAGACUGCAGAUUGUUCAGCUCUGACCAAUUCACUGUGUACCUAUCUCCUAGAAUCGAAGACACUUUAUUAUGUAACCUGGUACAAUUUUCAUAAAAUUCGGAGAGUUUCUAAAGUCUUGUCAAGAUCAUAGGCCCUUGCUCCUCCUCCUCUUUUCCUAACUCUUGGCGUCUACUCAUGUGAUGUCCACGUCUAUAAUUUUGUUACUUCAAGCAUGUCUGUGAAGGAGAUUUACUAAAAAAAUGUCUCAGGGACUGGUCAGCUGGGUAGAAGUUUCAUGAAAUGGAGAGACCGAAAUGUUGCAGAUCCAGAGACAAAUUAUACUUAUUUGCCUAGCUUUAGCUCCCCUAAAUAACCAUCUCCCUGCCCACCUCUGUGUAGGAAUUUAAGUCUGUGAUUAACAGAACUUUUGGAACUUAGUAACUUACGAGACCACUAGGUUCCACCAAUCCAAAAGCUAAAAAUGUCAUUAGAUAGUGUCUCAGACCUGUCUUACUUUAGCCUCUUCUCUGAUGUACCCACCACUAUUUUAAAAUUGCUUUGAUUUGUGAGUUUCUUUGUUCUGCUACUAGGAAAGUACUUUCCUGUUGGAACAUGGAACCUGAGGUAACCUAGCUCUGUGUUUCCAUGUCAUUGUCACUCAAAUUUGGCUCCAGAAUAAACUUUUACUUCCUUUGAAGCUAACCUUGUGUUUUUGUGUCAACUAGUUACAUAAACAGAUAAUAGCGCUCUCUCUCGCUCUCUCUCGCUCUCUCUCUCUCUCUCUGUCUCUCUCUCACACACACACACACACACACACACACAAUUCUUUUAUUAUUGAUGAGUAAUAUCAAUAGUUUGUUCCUUUUACUGAGUAGUAUUUCAUGGAUAAAUGUAUUUGUUUAGCCAUCUCGAGUUAUUUCCAUUUUUUAUUGAUUACACAUAAAACCACAAUUUAAAAUUAUGUUAUUUUUCUGCAUGGAGCUUUUCCCCCCUGGGGUAGAUGUUUAGGAUACAAUUGCUGGGUGGCAUAUAGCUCCAUGCUUAAUUUUUUCAGAAGUAUCAAAUUCUUUUCCACACCUGACAACACGGUUUUACAUUCCCAGUAGUCAUGAAUAUGCGAUUUGGUCACUGCCACCCUUCAGGCCUUUGCUGGUGUCACUGUUUCUUAGUUUAACCAAUCUGAUAUUGUGCACAGUGAUGGGCAGAUUUAGCCCUCCACUGCUGCCAGUGGCCUGAGGAGUCUCCCACUUAGGGACCUCCAUUCAUAUAAAGCCAGGCCCUUGACUAUUUUCAGGACAAGUCAGCUAGCGUAUUAAGGAGGAACUAGAGACAGAGCACAGUUCCAGAUUUAAACACAGAGAGAGGGGGAGAUAGAGAGGAGAAAGGGAUAGUGAAGGCACGAGGGGAGAUGACGAGAGAGAGAGAGAGAGAGAGAGAGAGAGAGAGAGAGAGAGGAAGAAGAAGAAGAAGAAGAAGAAGAAGAAGAAGAAGAUAAGAGAAGAAGAAAAGAAGAAGAAGAAGAAAAGAAGAAGAAGAAGAAAAGAAGAAGAAGAAGAAGAAAAGAAGAAGAAGAAGAAAAGAAGAAGAAGAAGAAGAAAAGAAGAAGAAGAAGAAGAAGAAGAAGAAGAAGAAGAAGAAGAAGAAGAAGAAGAAGAAGAAGAAGAAGAAGAAGAAGAAGAAAGGAGAGGAAGAGGGAGGGAGAGGGAGGGGGAGGGGGAGGGAAAGAGCAUCUUUUCAGGUUACUCUGUUCAAAGGAUGUAACCCACACGACUUAAAGAUUAAGCAGGGUGAAAAUCAAGUUUAACAGUUAGAGCUGUUUAAUUUCCUUGAAGAAUUUCCUUUAUAAAUGAGGUCUGACAGUGGUUCUGUGAGGAGACGUUGUUGGAAAUAAGAAAGGAGGUGUGUUGCCGAGGUCGUCUUCUAGACCUCGAGUACAGGCAGCUCCUUUGCUGUUGUGAACAUCCUCGUCUGAGAGUUCUCGCAGAUAACACACAACAUCUCUGUGUCCAAUCUUUGUUUGAUUGGUUACAUUUCUGACUCAGCCAGCAAGAAACGCAGACCGGGUCCCAGUAUGAGCAGCUGUUCUGCCUUCCUGUGUCACCAUCAGUUUUCCUCUAAAGCCUUUUGCUGUUGCUAUGGCUGUCUUGUUCUGUGGCUGGGGUGGCUGCUGUUUGACAUGUGGCCUCAUGUAGCCCUGGGUGGCCUCAAAAAGCGCUGGGUAACAUCCAGGUGGUGGUGGUGGUACAUGCCUUUGAUCUCAGCACUUGAGAAGCAGAGGCAGGUAGAUCUCUGAGUUCAAGGACAGCCUGAUCUACAGAGUGAGUUCCAGGACAGCCAGGGCUACACAGGGAAACCCUGUUAGGGUGGGGGAAUCACUAGGUAACCGAAGAUGGAGAAAAAUCACUAGGCAACAGGAGAUGGAGAAAAAUCACUGGGCAACAGAAGAUGGAGAAAAAUCACUAGGCAACAGAAGAUGGAGAAAAAUCACUAGGUAACAGAAGAUGGAGAAAAAUCACUAGGCAACAGAAGACGGUCUUUACCUCUACCUACUCAUACUCCUACCUCUGCCUCCUAAGUCCCUAGUCACAAGCCAGUUUGAUAAUUAAUCCUUGUAUAUCUGUGCUUUAGCUAGGACUGGGUCAACUUUGUUUUUUUCCUUCCUUCCUUCCUUCCUUCCUUCCUUCCUUCCUUCCUUCCUUCCUUCCUUCUUUCUUUCUUUCUUUCGUUAAUUUUCAACACAUGGUUUCUCUGUGUAACCCUGGAUAGCCUGGAACUUACCAUGUAGACCAGACUGGCUUCUAACUCAAAGAUCCGCCUGCCUCUGCCUCCCAGGCGCUGGUACCUACAUGCACCACCACACCCAGUGAAUAGCCAGUUUUCUUGAAAGAGACCACAAAAGGUCAGGAAACCAAGUAGUUACGCUGAAGAAAAAAAAAAAAAAAAAAAAAAAACUCCACAUUGCAGUCUCUCACACACAAAAAAAGAAUGACGACUCAGAAUUGUGAAGGUUAACAGCUAAACCAACAAACAGGGUGGCACACAAGCCACUGUGAGGACCCCAUAUUUGUCACAACACGGGCUAUCAGGAAACCGAAAGAACAUAAUGAAAUCAUAUUAACUUGGGGUGUACUCUUGGAUAUUUGGGCCAAGUGGAUUUUUUGUUGUUGUUAUGAUGUUUCUUUAAGUUUUAUACUGAGGCUUCAGGGUUCAGUAGGAAAGGAAAAAAGUCAGAAGAACAGGAAAAACCUUGAAUACUCAAUUUCCUUUAGCGUACACCUUUAAAGAAUUGGAGGAGGCUCGAGUACACCGUUGUAAGACAGCGCCCAGAGAGGGGCCGUCCAAGUUCCCUGUGGAUGAGAUUGCAAACUUUACAAAAGGCAGCUCCUGAAAGAGCGGGAGGGGCUGAACAAUCAGCCAGAACGUCUCUCGUUUUCAUAGAAAAAAAAAAAAAAAGAUAAGAUCUUUAUGAGCAAAGAACUGGCCAGCUAAACGUGCUUUGGAACCUAAAAUGCGCUGAUUAAAGAUACUAUCUCCCUGGGUGCCACCUUAAGGCUAAUACAUCUCCCAGCGUGAGAAGGGUUUCUGAGGCCAGGUUGUGGCUUAGGAUUCACGAUUCACACGUAAGGUAGCAACGUAACAUCCGUGCACUGUUUUACCUGGCGCAGGACCAGUGUGUCGGUAAGGAAGUCAUGCUAGAAGCCCUCUAUCGCUGGGGACACCAUACCUCAAGGAGCAGUUCCCUCUCCCAGACCGGACCGGUCUGUCACUUAAGCUAACAGACUUAAUUCCUGGUGCUUCGACUUCUCACAGGGGAUGUUGGGUGCUCCUCGAAGUGGGGGGACGGUAGGAACAUACCCUGCUCCUCACCCCAUGUCCCUUCCCCUGCCUGAGAAUCAGAGGAGCCUGGCUGCAGGCUUCUUACUGCAAAACUAUCCUCAGACAAGUAUACGAAGAUGCAAGGAGUAAAUUACAGGAAUCCAUUUUCUAAGCGCGGUGAGCUUAAAGUCCACUGGAGUUACAGAUCAGCAGGGUGAGCCAAGUGCCCCUUUCUCAGAGCAGAGCCUGAGGGGUUCCCCACUUAGGGACUUCAUCAAGAAAAGCCAGAUGCUUCUGUACCACCGAAAAUAGUUUCAGGACAAGUGACAGGAAAGCAGGCUCAGAGAUGUUUUGGAUUUUGUAGUUUGAUUUGGAUUUUAAUUUAUUGGUUUGUGGCCGGUUUGUAAUUUGGUUUUUUGUUUGGUUGGUUUGGUUUGGUUUUUGGAUUUUUCAAGACAGGGUUUCUCUGUGUAGCCCUGGCUAUUCUGGAACUCACUCUGUAGACCAGGCUGGCCUUGAACUCAAGAGAUCCACCUGCCUCUGCCUCCCAAAUACUGAGGUUAAAGGCAUGCAACACCACUGCCAGGCUGUGUUUGUUGAGUUUUUGUUUGUUUGUUUGUUUGGUUGGUUGGUUGGUUGGUUGGUUGGUUGGUUUUUCUUUGUUUUGUUUAUUUUGUUUUGUUUUAGUUUUGCUUUUCCCCUCCUACCCGCUUCCUCCUCAUCUCCUUCCCACUACUCCAUGGGUUAGUUUAUUAAGCCGAACUAAGAGACAGCACAAGGUUUGAAUAACUGUGAGUAUUUAGAGAGAUCCUUAAGACAGGAGCAGUAUAGUAGAGACCCAACCUUCCUUCAUCUUAGACUUUAAAGCCCUCUUAUUCCAAAGACAGACUAGGUUCCUUCCUGUUCAUGAUCUGACCUGUUUCUCAAGGACUGGGCUAUGCCCCACCUAUAACCUUAACUAAAAAUGGUUCUCUACUGCCUGUUCCAGGAAUGGCAAUCGUGUCUUCAAGAUUCAAACAGUUGUUUGUAACCGUCUUGCAACACUACCUGUUUUUCAGCAGGUUGUUGUUAUGGCCACCUGGCUACCAUGCCUUCGUUUCAGGAGGGUGAUAACCCUGCCUGCUUUACUCUUCAAACCCCACCCCCAGUUGGAAACCCCCUACCUCUGAGCUUUCUUUUUCCUUGUGAGCCAAGCCUUUUAACAGCUAAGCCAUGUCUUCAGCCCACACCUGGGCUUUAUGAAAAGCUUGUCUGCCUCACAUCUGUUGAUGACUGUUUGAACCCCACCUUAGGGAGGGAGACAGCCUGAGUACACAAAUAUCAAAGCCUACUUUGAUUAAUUGCUUGUUUUAAUUAAUUUGACCAGAUGAUUCAGGUCCGUGGUUUUUCUCCAGCACACAGCCAGGCGCCUGUAGCAGUACAAGUCUUUAAUCCUAACACUGGAGCGAUUAGGCAUGAACUGAUCAGGAGUUCAAGACUAGCCUCAGCUGCAGAGCAAUUCAAGGCCAGUCUGGGCAACAUGAGACCCAGUCUCAAAACAUGAGAAGACGGGGAGGGGCAUUUUGGGUGGGGGGAAAGGAAGAAGAAGAAGAAAUAGGAGGAGGAGUGGAGGAGAGAACACACAUGUCCAAAACAGGGUACAAGAGUCUCAAAUGCAUACAUGUGCCCCUGCAUAAACACGAACACACACGCACACACAUAAUUAAUUACAAUUAGGUUAAAAUGGUGGGAGAAGUCUCAUUUCCUCUCCAUCUCGCCUAUGACUUUUAUUCAGUUUAUAGAAAUCUAAGACAGUGGCUACAAGGGAUGAAUGUUUAACUAUCACACAGGCAAACUCUUCCUUGCCUCUGAGGAAGGGGACCUCAGGUCCCAGGUUGUCUUUAAGAUAGCUUCUUAGAUAAAUCCAGGUAGAGGAAAGUGGAGCCUUUGAAAUCCACCAUCUUGAAAAAGAACAGAACUGACUGUGUGAGAUAGAUGAUUCAUACCCAUUCCGAGCCCAGCAGAGUUCUUUAAUGAACAGAGAAGAGAAGCCUUUUGUAUACUCUCUUUGGGGGUCAGCUUCAAGCCUCCUGAAUUCCAGUUAAACUCUGAAACUGGCUGCCUGAAGGAAAGAAUGUCCUAAGGAGCCUUUGUGACUGGCUGGCUGACAUCCCAAAACAGAGAACCCCAGGGAACCGGAAUCUCCCACCCCAAGACUUCCACCCUAGAGAAGGAAAAGCUGAAGCCUGGGGCCAGCCAGAGAAGAGGGCGCUUUGCAGAACCCAACAACUUGCUAAUCCCCUAAAAGAGAGACGGAAACUGAGACAGGUCAGUGGUGGAACCAUACUUGGCCAGGGCUGUUAAGUAUGAGAUUCUCUUACCUUCUACCUAAAGUCUAUCUCCAUGUUAACAUGGGGGUUCUUGGAGGAGCUCUGGAUAUCUAUAUACCUCUUUUCAACGUGCCCACAUUGAAUUAAUCGCCUUUUUCUGUUUGUCACUAUUAAUUUAGCUCCAUUUUUAAAAUUUGUUUUGUUUUAUGUGCAUGUGUCUGUGUGUGUCUGUGUGUGUCUGUGUGUGUGUGUGUGUCUGUGUCUGUGUGUGUGUGUGUCUGUGUGUGUGUGUUCAUAUGUGUGCGCAUGUGUACCAUUGCCCAGAAAGGCCAGAAGAGGGCCUUGGUUCCUCUGAAGCUAGAUUUAUUGGUGGUGGUAAGCUGCCCAAAGUGGAUGCUGGGAACCAACCUUGGGUCCUCUGGAAGAGCAUCACCUGUGGUUAAAAGAGCUCUCUCUAACCCCUCUUCCGUGGUUUUUAUUUGAAUUCCAAGAUGGUAGACUUCUAUCUGGCUUUUUUCAUACCCCCUUCAUUUUGUUUAUUCUAUAAGUUUCUGUUCCUCUAGAGAAUCCUGACCAAAACAAGGACUCAUCAAAUUGCUAACAGAAUCAGCAUGUGCAAAGAAAAGUGAGCGUGCUACUGUCUUCCUUGGUAGCGUCACUAUGGACCCAAAGCUGACGCCUAAACCGGAAGCCUGUAUUUCUCGCUGAGAAAUCAAGAUAGCGCCACAAAGAGACGAACGACAGAGCUUCCUAACAGCUCCUGCCACAGACAUGUGCUCAGACAGCUGUACGGCUGGAGAGUCCACCUCCACGAAGGACAUGUUCUGUGCUGCGCUUCCUACCAGAAACCAAAUUUCCAGAAUCCUUCCUGCAAGAAACCUUCGGAAAACAGGCCUGAAGAGGUAUGCUUUGGAUCCAUAAUCUAACAGGCUCAACCCUGGAAGUCUCACAGGAACUGAAAUAACAGCCUUCCAAUUGCUCCUGAGGUCCUGCGCUGUCAGCAGCAGGGAUGCACUAUACCUCCCAUCCUCUCCUUGGCAAACAGCAGACUCGUUUCUCCUGUGGGCUAUUCCAUGAGGAACUCAGAAGCACAAGAGACUGAAACAGUGGAGAGGGGCCUGGUGUUGGGACCCAUCUGAACUCCACCUUACUGUCCCUAGCACACACCUCUCUGUACCCGUGUCCAUACAGAAUGACCCAAAACUCCAUCUUGAGACUGUUGAAGACCCAGAAGGAGGUGUAUAUUAAAGAUUAGGUACCGUGGGCUGGAGAGAUGGCUCAGCAGUUAGGAGCACUGACUGCUCUUCCAGAGGUCCUGAGUUCAAUUCCCAGCAACCACAUGGUGGCUCACAACCAUCUGUAAUGGGAUCCGACGCCCCCUUCUGGUGUUCUGGUGUGUCUGAAGACAGCUAGAGUGUACUCACAUAUAUAAAACAAAUAAAUCUUCAAAAAAAAAGACUCAUAAAAAAAAA